Molecule: ribosomal RNA, 407 nt
Filed under: uncultured bacterium
Lineage: Bacteria
Description: bacterial SSU rRNA
Rfam family: Bacterial small subunit ribosomal RNA
Source: RNAcentral
GCUAGGAAAAUUGCACAAUCGACGCAAGUCGGAUGCAGUGACGCCGCGUGGGGGAAGAAGGCUUUCGAGUCGUAAACCCCUUUUGCGAGGGAAGAAGAUCUGACGGUACCUCGCGAAUAAGUCACGGCUAACUACGUGCCAGCAGCCGCGGUAAUACGUAGGUGGCGAACGUUGUCCGGAUUUACUGGGCGUAAAGCGCGCGCAGGCGGACUGGUCAGUCCAGGGUGAAAUCUCCCGGCUCAACUGGGAGGAGUCCCCGGAUACUGCCAGCCUUGAGGUGCCUAGAGGAGAGUGGAAUUCCGGGUGUAGUGGUGGAAUGCGUAGAUAUCCGGAGGAACACCAGUGGCGAAAGCGACUCUCUGGGGGCGACCUGACGCUGAGGCGCGAAAGCGUGGGGAGCAAACCGG